CAGUAGCCGCGGUAAUACGAAGGGGGCUAGCGUUGUUCGGAAUUACUGGGCGUAAAGCGCACGUAGGCGGAUAUUUAAGUCAGGGGUGAAAUCCCAGAGCUCAACUCUGGAACUGCCUUUGAUACUGGGUAUCUUGAGUAUGGAAGAGGUGAGUGGAAUUCCGAGUGUAGAGGUGAAAUUCGUAGAUAUUCGGAGGAACACCAGUGGCGAAGGCGGCUCACUGGCCCAUUACUGACGCUGAGGUGCGAAAGCGUGGGGAGCAAACAGGAUUAGAUACCCCGGUAGUCCCUGUCUCUUAUAC
RNAcentral lists this ribosomal RNA (301 nucleotides) under uncultured bacterium. RNAcentral describes it as "partial 16S ribosomal RNA". It matches the Rfam family "Bacterial small subunit ribosomal RNA", at positions 509 to 807 of the family's 1533-position model. The record is from RNAcentral.